Molecule: small nuclear RNA, 165 nt
Filed under: Chinchilla lanigera (long-tailed chinchilla)
Lineage: Eukaryota; Metazoa; Chordata; Mammalia; Rodentia; Chinchillidae
Description: U1 spliceosomal RNA (ENSCLAG00000018625.1)
Rfam family: U1 spliceosomal RNA
About the family: U1 is a small nuclear RNA (snRNA) component of the spliceosome (involved in pre-mRNA splicing). Its 5' end forms complementary base pairs with the 5' splice junction, thus defining the 5' donor site of an intron. There are significant differences in sequence and secondary structure between metazoan and yeast U1 snRNAs, the latter being much longer (568 nucleotides as compared to 164 nucleotides in human).
Source: Rfam by way of RNAcentral
AUACUUAACCUGGCAGGGUAGAUACCAUGAUUGUGAAGGUGGUUUUGCCAGGGCGAGGCUCAUCCGUUAUACUCCGAGUGUACUGACCCCUGCGAUUUCCUCAAAUGUGGGCAACUUGACUGCAUAAUUUGUGGUAGUGGGAGACUGUGUUUCCGCUCUCCCCUG